RNAcentral lists this ribosomal RNA (202 nucleotides) under Cryptosporidium cf. ryanae MW7. Its description in RNAcentral is "partial small subunit ribosomal RNA". The stretch from base 53 to 202 matches the Rfam family "Eukaryotic small subunit ribosomal RNA", at positions 757 to 911 of the family's 1831-position model. The record is from RNAcentral. Lineage: Eukaryota; Apicomplexa; Conoidasida; Eucoccidiorida; Cryptosporidiidae.
UACUACGGUAUUUAUAUAAUAUUAACAUAAUUCAUAUUACUUUUUAGUAUAUGAAACUUUACUUUGAGAAAAUUAGAGUGCUUAAAGCAGGCUAUUGCCUUGAAUACUCCAGCAUGGAAUAAUAUUAAGGAUUUUUAUUCUUCUUAUUGGUUCUAGAAUAAAAAUAAUGAUUAAUAGGGACAGUUGGGGCCAUUYGUAUUUA